RNAcentral lists this unclassified non-coding RNA (583 nucleotides) under Penicillium fennelliae. Its description in RNAcentral is "sequence contains 18S rRNA gene, ITS1, 5.8S rRNA gene, ITS2, 28S rRNA gene". The stretch from base 219 to 372 matches the Rfam family "5.8S ribosomal RNA". Lineage: Eukaryota; Fungi; Ascomycota; Eurotiomycetes; Eurotiales; Aspergillaceae. The record is from RNAcentral.
AGUCGUAACAAGGUUUCCGUAGGUGAACCUGCGGAAGGAUCAUUACCGAGUGAGGGCCCUCUGGGUCCAACCUCCCACCCAUGUUUAUUGUACCUUGUUGCUUCGGCGAGCCUGCCUUCGGGCUGCCGGGGGACGCCUGUCCCCGGGUCCGCGCUCGCCGGAGACACCUAGAACUCUGUCUGAAGAUUGCCGUCUGAGACUAAAUAUAAAUUAUUUAAAACUUUCAACAACGGAUCUCUUGGUUCCGGCAUCGAUGAAGAACGCAGCGAAAUGCGAUACGUAAUGUGAAUUGCAGAAUUCAGUGAAUCAUCGAGUCUUUGAACGCACAUUGCGCCCUCUGGUAUUCCGGAGGGCAUGCCUGUCCGAGCGUCAUUUCUGCCCUCAAGCACGGCUUGUGUGUUGGGCCCCGUCCUCCCUCCGGGGGACGGGCCCGAAAGGCAGCGGCGGCACCGGUCCGGUCCUCAAGCGUAUGGGGCUUUGUCACUCGCUUUGUAGGCCCGGCCGGCGCCUGCCGAUCAACCAUAACUUUUUUCCAGGUUGACCUCGGAUCAGGUAGGGAUACCCGCUGAACCUAAGCAUAUCA